Molecule: ribosomal RNA, 409 nt
Filed under: uncultured bacterium
Lineage: Bacteria
Description: bacterial SSU rRNA
Rfam family: Bacterial small subunit ribosomal RNA
Source: RNAcentral
GUGCCAGCAGCCGCGGUAAUACGGAGGGUGCGAGCGUUAAUCGGAAUUACUGGGCGUAAAGGGCGCGUAGGCGGUCGCGCAAGUCGGGUGUGAAAGCCCCGGGCUCAACCUGGGAAUUGCAUUCGAUACUGCGUAACUAGAGUCUGGUAGAGGGAAGCGGAAUUCCGCAUGUAGCGGUGAAAUGCGUAGAUAUGCGGAGGAACACCAGUGGCGAAGGCGGCUUCCUGGACCAAGACUGACGCUGAGGCGCGAAAGCGUGGGGAGCAAACAGGAUUAGAUACCCUGGUAGUCCACGCCGUAAACGAUGAUAACUCGUUGUUGGCGAUAUACAGUCAGCGACUAAGCGAAAGCGAUAAGUUAUCCACCUGGGGAGUACGAUCGCAAGGUUGAAACUCAAAUGAAUUGACGG